RNAcentral lists this unclassified non-coding RNA (265 nucleotides) under Glomeraceae sp. RNAcentral's name for it is "partial contains 5.8S ribosomal RNA and internal transcribed spacer 2". The stretch from base 1 to 71 matches the Rfam family "5.8S ribosomal RNA", at positions 84 to 154 of the family's 154-position model. Lineage: Eukaryota; Fungi; Glomeromycota; Glomeromycetes; Glomerales; Glomeraceae. The record is from RNAcentral.
GUGAAUCAUCGAAUUUUUGAACGCAAAUUGCGCUUCCUGGUAUUCCGGAGAGUAUGCCUGUUUGAGGGUCAGUUUCAAUAAAAAUCGGUGUGGUCGUUGCUUUUCGUGGUGACGCGCCGGAUUUGGGUUGUCUUGCCUUCGGUUAAGUGACCUAAAAUUUUGCAUGAUUUUUUCGUACGUCUUUAAAUGAUUUUACGUACGUUUGCGUUAUGGAAUACUAGGUACGGUCACCUUCAUGUUUCGCGCAUAUAAUUAUUCAUCAAAU